UUCUGUAGGCUGUUAAUUUAGUCAGAGGUUAAAUCCUUCGGCCCAACCGAAGAAACGCUUCUGAUACUGGUUAACUAGAGGCAGUUAGGGGGUAGCGGAACGUAUGGUGUAGCAGUAAAAUGCGUUGAUAUCAUACGGAACACCAAGGGGGAAGCCAGCUACCUGGGACUGUCCUGACGCUGAGAGACGAAAGCGUGGGGAGCGAAAC
Molecule: ribosomal RNA, 208 nt
Filed under: uncultured bacterium
Lineage: Bacteria
Description: partial 16S ribosomal RNA
Rfam family: Bacterial small subunit ribosomal RNA
Source: RNAcentral